RNAcentral lists this ribosomal RNA (749 nucleotides) under uncultured bacterium. Its description in RNAcentral is "bacterial SSU rRNA". It matches the Rfam family "Bacterial small subunit ribosomal RNA", at positions 79 to 808 of the family's 1533-position model. The record is from RNAcentral.
UCGGGGAGCGAGUAAAGUGGCGCACGGGUGAGUAACACGUAGGUAAUCUACCUUCGGGUGGGGAAUAACCCAGGGAAACUUGGGCUAACACCGCAUAAUGCAGCGGCACCACAUGGUGACAGUUGUUAAAGCGGGGGAUUUUAGGACCUCGCGCCUGAAGAGGAGCCUGCGGCGGAUUAGCUUGUUGGUAAGGUAACGGCUUACCAAGGCGACGAUCCGUAGCCGGCCUGAGAGGGCGGUCGGCCACACUGACACUGACAUACGGGUCAGACUCCUACGGGAGGCAGCAGUCGGGAAUUUUGGGCAAUGGGCGAAAGCCUGACCCAGCAACGCCGCGUGAAGGAUGAAAUCCCUCGGGAUGUAAACUUCGCAAGAAUGGGAAGAAUUAGUAGGGGUUAAUACCCCCUAUGAUGACGGUACCAUUUGUAAGCUCCGGCUAACUCCGUGCCAGCAGCCGCGGUAAUACGGGGGGAGCAAGCGUUGUUCGGAUUUACUGGGCGUAAAGGGCGCGUAGGCGGCCAGCACAAGUCAGUUGUGAAAUCUCCGGGCUUAACUCGGAAAGGUCAACUGAUACUGUGCGGCUAGAGUGCGGAAGGGGCAACUGGAAUUCUCGGUGUAGCGGUGAAAUGCGUAGAUAUCGAGAGGAACACCUGCGGCGAAGGCGGGUUGCUGGGCCGACACUGACGCUGAGGCGCGAAAGCCAGGGGAGCGAACGGGAUUAGAUACCCCGGUAGUCCUGGCCUUAAACG